GACGGAGGGGGCAAGCGUUGUUCGGAAUUAUUGGGCGUAAAGGGCUCGUAGGCGGACCGGUGUGUCUGGCGUGAAAUCUCCACUGCUUAACAGGGAGGGGCCGCUGGAAACUGCCGAUCUUGAGUAUGGUAGAGGACCAUGGAAUUUCGGGUGUAGCGGUGGAAUGCGUAGAUAUCCGAAAGAACACCGGUGGCGAAGGCGGUGGUCUGGACCAAAACUGACGCUGAGGAGCGAAAGCCAGGGGAGCAAACGGG
This 254-nucleotide ribosomal RNA is filed under the name uncultured bacterium. RNAcentral's name for it is "partial 16S ribosomal RNA". It matches the Rfam family "Bacterial small subunit ribosomal RNA", at positions 524 to 776 of the family's 1533-position model. The record is from RNAcentral.